GCGUGUACUGGCCUCGAGUGGAUGAGGUUAAAGAUGAAAGAAAGAUGUCCAGGAAUCUAGAUUUUUGAGUUUCCACUAUUAUUAUCAGUUUAUCACACAGAAAAGCAAAGCGAAGGGAAAAUAAAUUAAUCAAAAUCUAAGCUCAAACAUAUGGGUCCAUUGGUAAUCAUUUGUGUUCAAAAUUGUAAAGCAAAGCAAUAUAUAGCAAAAAUGA
Molecule: long non-coding RNA, 214 nt
Filed under: Brassica napus (rape)
Lineage: Eukaryota; Viridiplantae; Streptophyta; Magnoliopsida; Brassicales; Brassicaceae
Description: long non-coding RNA (BNAP_LNC006296)
Source: RNAcentral